UAAUUGACARRUGGCGAGCGGCUGUCUGGUCUGUACUGACGCUGAGGCUCGAAAGUAUGGGUAGCAAACAGGAUGAGAUACCCUGGUAAUCCAUACCGUAAACGAUGAAUGCUAAGUGUUGGAGGGUUUCCGCCCUUCAGUGCUGCAGCUAACGCAUUAAGCAUUCCGCCUGGGGAGUACGGCCGCAAGGCUGAAACUCAAA
RNAcentral lists this ribosomal RNA (202 nucleotides) under Lactiplantibacillus plantarum. Its description in RNAcentral is "Lactobacillus plantarum partial 16S ribosomal RNA". It matches the Rfam family "Bacterial small subunit ribosomal RNA", at positions 702 to 905 of the family's 1533-position model. The record is from RNAcentral. Lineage: Bacteria; Bacillati; Bacillota; Bacilli; Lactobacillales; Lactobacillaceae.